UAGGGAAUCUUCCACAAUGGACGAAAGUCUGAGUGGAGCAACGCCGCGUGAGUGAAGAAGGUUUUCGGAUCGUAAAGCUCUGUUGUUGGUGAAGAAGGAUAGAGGCAGUAACUGGUCUUUAUUUGACGGUAAUCAACCAGAAAGUCACGGCUAACUACGUACCAG
This 165-nucleotide ribosomal RNA is filed under the name uncultured bacterium. RNAcentral describes it as "partial 16S rRNA". It matches the Rfam family "Bacterial small subunit ribosomal RNA", at positions 355 to 511 of the family's 1533-position model. The record is from RNAcentral.